UUAUAUUGUAUAUUUACUUAUUAUUUAUUUUACUUUUCCUUUUUCAGAUGUUUAAUGUAGUUUUUAUAUUUAUUAUAUUUUAUAUUUAAUUAUUAUUUAUUUUUAUUCUAAUAUUAUGAUAUAUGUUUAAUGUAAUAUUUUUGUUUCUUAUACUCUAUAUUUACUUAUUAUUUAUUUUACUAUACAUUUUUUAUAUAGAUGUCAAAUUUAGUUUUUCCAGUUCUGAUAUUGUAUAUUUACUUAUUGUGUAUCUUUUCUUAUAUUGUAUAUCUACUUAUUCUAAUAUUACGGCAGAUUUUUAAUAUAAUAUUUCUAUUUCUUAUAUUGUAUAUUUACUUAUUAUUUAUUUUACUAUACAUUUUUUAGCGAGAUGUUUAAUUUAGUUUUUUUUUAUUUCUUAAUUGUAUUUUAUCUAUUGUUUAUUUUUUCUUAUACUGUAUAUUUACUUAUUCUAAUUUUCUUAUUUUUAUAUCAAAUGUUAAUAUUAUGAUAGAUGUUUAAUGUAAUAUUUCUAUUUUUAUAUUGUAUAUUUACUUAUAAAAAUAUUUAGAAAUAAUAAAAAUGUAAAACUAUACAUUUUUCAGAUAGAUAUUUAAUGUAGUUUUUUCAUUUAUAUAUUUUUUUUCAUUGUAUAUUUACUAGUCUAAUUGUUUUUUUAUAUCAAGUUGUAAUAUUACGAUAGAUUUUUAAUGUAAUAUUUAUAUUUCUUAUAUUAUAUAUUUACUUAUUAUUUAUUUUUUCUUAUAUUGUAUAUUUACUUAUUAUUGUUUAAUGUAAUACUUCUAUUUUUCAUAUUGUAUAUUUAAUUAUUAUUUAUUUUUUCUUGUAUUUAUAUUUAGUUUUUAUUAUUUUUUAGUAACAAUGACACGUGUCAUAUUUCGGAAUAAGUUUUAUUCGUUGAUGUGGACGCUACAGGGAACCUCAAAAUGUCUCUUUUAUUAGUAUAGAUAGACUAGGAAUUAACAUUUUAUUAGUAUAGACUAUGAAUUAACAUGUGCUAGGCACGUGGCUAUAUCAAUUUUGAAAUGGUAACUAUAUAGCUAUUCUUUUAAACAUUGUAUUAUGAACAACAACAAAAUUCUAAAUUGUAUGUUUGUGUGAAUACAUAUUUUCUUAGAAAAAAAAACCUAUACAUUUUUAAGAUAUGUGUUUGAUAUAGUUUUCUAUUUCUUAUAUUGUAGGGUAAUUCUCUCAAAUAACAUUUUUUAAGUUUUUGUCACAAAAUAACUUUCAAUAAAGAAAAUGACCAAAAUAGCCUUUCUUAUUUUGAAAAUUUUAAUUUUUAAUUUUUAAAAUUUGAAACUCUAUCCUCAAAAUCCAACUUCUUAACUCUAAACCCUAAGUAUAGAUUAGUUUAUUCUAGGGUAUAAAUAUAUUUUUACUCUUUAAUAAAAUUUGUUUUGGUCAUUUUUUCUCACUAAGGGAUAUUUUUGUGAGAAAAACCUAAAAAUGACUAUCGUAGGGAAUUUCUAUAUAUUGAAUAUUUAUUUAUUUUAAUUUUUCUUGCUUUUAUAUCAAAUGUUAAAUUACGAUAGAUGUGUCAUGUAAUAUUUUUAUUUUUUAUAUUGUAUAUUUGUUUAUUAUAUAUUUAACUAUAUAUUUUUCCAUUUAACUAUAUAUUCUUCAGAUAUAUGUUUAAUUUAGUUUUUUUUUUCAUUUUUUAUAUUGUAUAUUUACUUACGGUUUAUCUUUUCUUAUUUUGUAUAUUUACUUAUUCUAAAUUUCUUGCUUUUAUAUCAAUGAUAAUAUUACGAUAUAUAUAUUUAAUGCAAUAUUUUAUUUAUUAUAUACUAUAUUUACUUAUUAUUUAUUUUUUCUUAUAUUUUUCAUUUACUUAUUAUAAUAUGUAGCAUUUGUAUUUCUUAUAUUGUAUAUUUACUUAUUAUUUAUUUCUUCCUAUAUUGUAUAUAUAUUUACUUAUAAAAAUAUUUGUAAAUAAUAAAAAUGUAAAAAUAAUACAUUUUUUCAGACAUAUGUUUAAUUUAGUUUUUCCAUUUCUUAUAUUGUAUAUUUACUUAUUAUAUUUGUUUUGCUUUU
This 2037-nucleotide long non-coding RNA is filed under the name Brassica rapa (field mustard). RNAcentral describes it as "long non-coding RNA (BRAP_LNC006362)". The record is from RNAcentral. Lineage: Eukaryota; Viridiplantae; Streptophyta; Magnoliopsida; Brassicales; Brassicaceae.